GGAAGUGAAGGUGAUCUAAUUCAACAUGUUGAUCACCAGGGUUGAUUUGGCUGAUCUGGUUGGCUAGGCAGGUGUCCCCUUCCUCCCUCACUGCUCCAUGUGCUUCCCUCACGAAGCUACACCAUUGGUCAAAGAGGACAACAUUCUCAAUAGAGAUGUACUUUUCGUCAGUCAAGGGUAUAUGGCAGCUAUGCUCCCCUUCCAGAACCUCCAAAAAAGCUCAAUGCUACACUGCAGGGGUAGUAUCUAUUAGAUGUCUCUUAUAUUUGUAUCCAAUUUAUUUAUGUGUCUUU
This 293-nucleotide small nuclear RNA is filed under the name Nestor notabilis (Kea). RNAcentral's name for it is "7SK RNA". It matches the Rfam family "7SK RNA". From Rfam's summary of the family: 7SK was discovered as an abundant small nuclear RNA in the mid-70s but a possible function has only recently been suggested. Two independent studies have found that 7SK RNA binds the CDK9/cyclin T complex (known as elongation factor P-TEFb). Lineage: Eukaryota; Metazoa; Chordata; Aves; Psittaciformes; Psittacidae. The record is from Rfam by way of RNAcentral.